UUAAAUUGAAGAGUUUGAUCAUGGCUCAGAUUGAACGCUGGCGGCAGGCCUAACAAAUGCAA
RNAcentral lists this ribosomal RNA (62 nucleotides) under Shigella sonnei. RNAcentral describes it as "partial 16S ribosomal RNA". The record is from RNAcentral. Lineage: Bacteria; Pseudomonadati; Pseudomonadota; Gammaproteobacteria; Enterobacterales; Enterobacteriaceae.